Molecule: non-coding RNA, 45 nt
Organism: Schistosoma curassoni
Lineage: Eukaryota; Metazoa; Platyhelminthes; Trematoda; Strigeidida; Schistosomatidae
Source: Rfam
AUCCAGCUGACGAGUCCGAAAUGGGACGAAAAGCGCAUCCUGGAU